Mercenaria mercenaria is the source of this 930-nucleotide long non-coding RNA. RefSeq lists it as uncharacterized. Lineage: Eukaryota; Metazoa; Mollusca; Bivalvia; Venerida; Veneridae. The record is from RefSeq and is a predicted model, not a curated record. The transcript is spliced from 2 exons.
GUGUUAUAUUUUCUGUCCUUUGGCAUCAUGGAGACCAUUCAAUAUCUCUGAUUUAGACUUCCAGUCUAUGCUUCCAAAUGAUCUUAAAGAUUUUUUAUCCUACCUUCAUGCAAAAUAAAGGCAAAAAUCAAGGGGUCAGAUAAAUUUUGCUUUAUCUGGUCAGUGACUAAAUAAAGCUUGGCGGACUACUUUUUGGAUUUUUUUUUAAAACGACGCCAUCUUGUUUUUGAGAAUAACUGCUAAAAGACAUAUUUAUGCAAUUAUUUUCAUAAACGCGCUUUUAUUAGGUAUGUGAGACCAUCACAAAUGUAUAGUGUAUGCAUACCGUACUUGCAAUUACUACAAAAAGUUUUUAUAACGGAAACGCUCGGAGAAACGGAAAGUGACUCAUAUGGCCUAAGACCACAGUUAUUUUUACUAUAUGUUCUAUAUAGGCACUGGACACUAUAGCAAUUUUGCAUGCAUUCCAACCCCUAUAAAAAUACCUGAACUCAACAGAACUAUCCAAGAGAAAAAAUUCCAGCCACAGUAAACAUUGGGUUGACCGGCUCUUUUUUCCACCAUUUUGAACCAAAUCACAUGCGUAUGAAGAAUACUCUCUAGAUGGCCGCAAACAGGCAAAACAGGCCCUAUCAAAAAGUCAUGUUAUGCAUAUUCUGACAUUUACAUUCUGUCAAAUUGUACAUGUACCUACUAUUUUAUAUCUCCUCUAUUAAAUCAUGCCAUCUAUUGCAGGUCUUUCAGUCAAAAAUUCACCAAUAUUCACCAUCAAACAGAGGAACUAUUUUCCGCGUAACCACUUCCGUAUUGUGGUCAACCAAGGGCAAAUAACUGUGGUCUUGUGCCUAUUUAGACCUAUUUUUCUCUCCAAACUAAAAAAUAUUUUACCAGUAUAAUCUCAGAUGUAUAGCAAAUUAAAUCUGAAAGUUA